This 440-nucleotide ribosomal RNA is filed under the name uncultured bacterium. Its description in RNAcentral is "partial 16S ribosomal RNA". It matches the Rfam family "Bacterial small subunit ribosomal RNA", at positions 338 to 795 of the family's 1533-position model. The record is from RNAcentral.
CCUACGGGAGGCAGCAGUAGGGAAUAUUGCUCAAUGGGGGAAACCCUGAAGCAGCAACGCCGCGUGGAGGAUGAAGGUUUUCGGAUUGUAAACUCCCUUUUUUAGAGAAGAUAAUGACGGUAUCUAACGAAUAAGCACCAGCUAACUCCGUGCCAGCGGCCGCGGUAAUACGGAGGGUGCAAGCGUUACUCGGAGUCACUGGGCGUAAAGCGCGCGUAGGCGGGAUAGCAAGUCAGAUGUGAAAUCCUAUGGCUUAACCAUAGAACUGCAGUUGAAACUGUUAUUCUAGAGUAUGGGAGGGGUAGGUGGAAUUCUUGGUGUAGGGGUAAAAUGCGUAGAGAUCAAGAGGAAUACUCAUUGCGAAGGCGAGCGGCUAGAACAUAACUGACGCUGAUGCGCGAAAGCGUGGGGAGCAAACAGGAUUAGAUACCCUGGUAGUC